Long non-coding RNA from Hipposideros armiger (great roundleaf bat), 992 nucleotides. RefSeq lists it as uncharacterized. The transcript is spliced from 3 exons. The record is from RefSeq and is a predicted model, not a curated record. Lineage: Eukaryota; Metazoa; Chordata; Mammalia; Chiroptera; Hipposideridae.
CUUAAAGGAGUCACAGGACAUGAUCUAACCCACUCUCAUUUUACUGGAGAGGAGAACGAUGCAGACAGACAACCAAGGAGCUGACUUCAAGUUACAGGCUCUGCAAUUUUCACUUGAGAAAUCAUGAGCAUUUUCUCACUGAAAUCCAUGUCAGGACAACUUCCUUAGCUGGAGAGGGGUGAGGGGAGGAUGGAUACUAACACACAUGACAGUUGUUAGUAUCCACCGAGGCUUCUGCAAUUGGAAUCCAGUUUGACUGAACACACAGACCUCUCCCUUGGUCCCCUGAAUUCCCCUGAUGAUCUGAAGGGACUGUACACCUGGGCCCAUUUCCUCAGAUGACAUCAAGGAAAUACCCGCGUGACUCCUCAAGUAAUCCAGCGUCAUCUUGGAUUGGACCAUGAGAACAAAGGCUAGGCAGCUGACCCAGGACAACAGAUCGCUGCCAAGAGAGGCAGCUGGAGAUGCUGGGGGUUGGCAGAAAAGAACCUGGUUAGCUUGGGUGCUGGGGAAAUGUGGCCUGAGGCGACAGGGGGCCAGGAAGCCUCAGGAACUAAGAGGCUUCGUGCUGGGCAGGCAGACUGUCUUCCCUUCUCCCUCUGCCUCUGCCUCCCACCCCUACCCGCCCACCCAGCCACAUCAAUUUCUUUAUCUUUGAAAUUACAGGUUGUUUGUUUCAAAUGGCCUGAGUCAUAUAUGUUCCUUGUGGAAAUAACCGAAAGUAACAGAAAAGAAGUUCCUCCUCAUCCUGGUACCCAGAGCAGAGUCUGUUACUAUUUCACUGUGUGAUGCUUCCAUGCUUGUUCUUGCAUCUAAGUAUGCCUACAUAUAAAGACGAUUUUUAUACUAACAGACGUGCGUGUUGAUAGUAUUAUGAUUGACAGUGACUGUUGUUUCAUGUAUUUAAUGUAAUGAAAACACAAUAUUCCCUAAAGUGUGUUUUUUAUUGGCUGCAUAAUCUAACAAGCAUAUGUGCCAUGGAGAUUCAGGAG